RNAcentral lists this ribosomal RNA (578 nucleotides) under Bacillus pumilus. RNAcentral describes it as "bacterial SSU rRNA". It matches the Rfam family "Bacterial small subunit ribosomal RNA", at positions 173 to 741 of the family's 1533-position model. The record is from RNAcentral. Lineage: Bacteria; Bacillati; Bacillota; Bacilli; Caryophanales; Bacillaceae.
UUCCUUGAACCGCAUGGUUCAAGGAUGAAAGACGGUUUCGGCUGUCACUUACAGAUGGACCCGCGGCGCAUUAGCUAGUUGGUGGGGUAAUGGCUCACCAAGGCGACGAUGCGUAGCCGACCUGAGAGGGUGAUCGGCCACACUGGGACUGAGACACGGCCCAGACUCCUACGGGAGGCAGCAGUAGGGAAUCUUCCGCAAUGGACGAAAGUCUGACGGAGCAACGCCGCGUGAGUGAUGAAGGUUUUCGGAUCGUAAAGCUCUGUUGUUAGGGAAGAACAAGUGCGAGAGUAACUGCUCGCACCUUGACGGUACCUAACCAGAAAGCCACGGCUAACUACGUGCCAGCAGCCGCGGUAAUACGUAGGUGGCAAGCGUUGUCCGGAAUUAUUGGGCGUAAAGGGCUCGCAGGCGGUUUCUUAAGUCUGAUGUGAAAGCCCCCGGCUCAACCGGGGAGGGUCAUUGGAAACUGGGAAACUUGAGUGCAGAAGAGGAGAGUGGAAUUCCACGUGUAGCGGUGAAAUGCGUAGAGAUGUGGAGGAACACCAGUGGCGAAGGCGACUCUCUGGUCUGUAACU